CCCAAGUAGCGGCGAGCGAACAGGGAUGAGCCCAGCGCUGAAUCCCGCGCCCGGCACACGGGCGCGGGAGAUGUGGCGUUAGGGAGGGUCCGACAUCCCGGGGGCCCUGCGGCGCGCCUAAGUCCUUCUUGAACGGGGCCAUUCACCCAGAGAGGGUGCCAGGCCCGUGACGGCAGCCGCAGCCCUCGGGAGGGCCUCUCCUCAGAGUCGGGUUGCUUGAGAGUGCAGCUCUAAGCGGGUGGUAAACUCCAUCUAAGGCUAAAUACGACCACGAGACCGAUAGCGAACAAGUACCGUGAGGGAAAGUUGAAAAGAACUUUGAAGAGAGAGUUCAAGAGUACGUGAAACCGUUCAGGGGCAAGCCUGAGGCACCCGAAAGGUCGAGGCGGGAGAUUCAGUGCCCCGCGCGCCCGGCGACGGGCCGAGCCGCGUCGAGUGCGCCGCCGUCCCCCCGCACCCGUGCGGGGGUCGGCCGCAUUCCGCGCUCCCCGCCGUGUCCGGCGAGCGCGCGCGGGCGUGCACUUCUCCCGCUGUAGGACGUCGCGACCCGUUGGGCCGUCGGCCUUCAGGGCCCGCGCACCAGACCGGCGCCCGCCGCAUCCCGCCCUCAGGGGCGCGGGGCGGCGCGCGGCGCCGGAGGCGCGGUGCACCCCCGGCCGUCGCCCGACGGUAUCGAACGCUAGUACGGCGCACGGAGCCGCCUUCUCUUCGAGAAGGCGUCCGGCCCGCCGCGAGCACGGCGCGCGCGCGCCGGCGGUCGGACUCGCGUCCGGCCCCGGCCCCGCCCGGCUGUCGGCGGCGGAUGCCCCGGACGGACUCCGCUCUGCUGCCAGUCUGCGACGCUUCAGCUUCGGGCGGUCUCAGGACCCGUCUUGAAACACGGACCAAGGAGUCUAGCAUGCGCGCGAGUCACUGGGACUGUGCGAAACCCAAGGGCGCAAUGAAAGUGAAGGCCCGCCUCGCGCGGGCCGAGGGAGGAUGGGCCGUCCCUGGCGACGGCCCCGCACUCCCGGGGCGUCUCGUCCUCAUCGCGAGGUGAGGCGCACCCAGAGCGCGCACGCUGGGACCCGAAAGAUG
This 1077-nucleotide ribosomal RNA is filed under the name Micromalthus debilis. Its description in RNAcentral is "eukaryotic LSU rRNA". It matches the Rfam family "Eukaryotic large subunit ribosomal RNA", at positions 78 to 825 of the family's 3401-position model. The record is from RNAcentral. Lineage: Eukaryota; Metazoa; Arthropoda; Insecta; Coleoptera; Micromalthidae.